Molecule: ribosomal RNA, 590 nt
Filed under: uncultured Burkholderia sp.
Lineage: Bacteria; Pseudomonadati; Pseudomonadota; Betaproteobacteria; Burkholderiales; Burkholderiaceae
Description: bacterial SSU rRNA
Rfam family: Bacterial small subunit ribosomal RNA
Source: RNAcentral
UCGGGUUGUAAAGCACUUUUGUCCGGAAAGAAAACUUCGGGGCUAAUACCUCUGGAGGAUGACGGUACCGGAAGAAUAAGCACCGGCUAACUACGUGCCAGCAGCGCGGUAAUCGUAGGGUGCGAGCGUUAAUCGGAAUUACUGGGCGUAAAGCGUGCGCAGGCGGUCUGUUAAGACAGAUGUGAAAUCCCCGGGCUUAACCUGGGAACUGCAUUUGUGACUGGCAGGCUAGAGUAUGGCAGAGGGGGGUAGAAUUCCACGUGUAGCAGUGAAAUGCGUAGAGAUGUGGAGGAAUACCGAUGGCGAAGGCAGCCCCCUGGGCCAAUACUGACGCUCAUGCACGAAAGCGUGGGGAGCAAACAGGAUUAGAUACCCUGGUAGUCCACGCCCUAAACGAUGUCAACUAGUUGUUGGGGAUUCAUUUCCUUAGUAACGUAGCUAACGCGUGAAGUUAACCGCCUGGGGAGUACGGUCGCAAGAUUAAAACUCAAAGGAAUUGACGGGGACCCGCACAAGCGGUGGAUGAUGUGGAUUAAUUCGAUGCAACGCGAAAAACCUUACCUACCCUUGACAUGGUCGGAACCCUGGUG